UCUUCUUUUCAUUUUCAUUUGCAGAGAGAGAAAGUUGAUUGGUCUGCUACAUACCAUGCCUCCCAACUUCAUCCCUACCUCAGUUCAAACUUUAAAACCACCUUCUUCACCCUUAUCUGCUUUUUUCAUCUUCACAUAUUGCGGAAAAAACAACAGAGAAUGAGAGAGAGGCGAGAGUGAGAAGUGGGUGACUUGGAGUUCCAGCAAGGUAUGGUGGUUCUGCAACUCGGAAAGGAGAACGGGUGCUUCGAGGUCUUGUAGGACAAGCGGCAGUAGGAAAGAAGGAGCCGCCACCAUGGCUUUGGCCGCGACGAAGGCUAGGGUUUCCAUAUGAGAUCUUCGGCGAUUCAAAUCAGUUUUUGGAAGCUAUGAUUGUGUUUGUAGAAGGUUGUAUGGGGGCAACGAGUUUGAAUGGAACAAAAAUUAGCAGGGUGUGACUGCCGAUUUCCUUUCAGAUUCUUCCCUAUUGAUGUUUAUUCGCUGCAAUAGGAAGGCCGAAGGUUUCUCUUGCGGCGGCGGCCACCGGCACACCUUUUAGGGUUCAGGAGCGAAUGGCGACUCGUUGCAUGUUUUGGCUGCCGAAGAAGAAGAGAUUCUGUGCAAUUCCGCUGCUCUCUAAUUCCGACUUCUGCGGUAAUCACUCCAAAAGAUCCGAUGACGUCUGGAUUCUAUGCUUAAUCGAUCCAUCUCAUUUUGUCCUUGUUUAAAAUGCAUCAAGCAUCAUAAUGAAUGAUGCAGCUGGUGUGCGAUUCCAAGCUGGACGCCAAGCAGAGGUUCGCUUAUGUUAAUAGGAGGAUAAGAAGUUAAAUGCAACAUAUAUAAUUAGUGUUGCAAGAAAGCCUGGAUGCUCAAUCUUUUUUAUUGCCUGAGGACAUUCUUGAGGUUAACCCGAAGAUGAUUCUGAUCCUAACAGCAAGCAUAUCAUGUACUAGAGCUUGUUACAGAAGUCUAAAGGUGAUGAAGAAGAUGGGAACACGCCUGAAUAAGAGGGCAACGCGCCAGAACAAGAUGGGAACGCGCCUGAAGAAGAAGGCAGUGCACCUGAAGAAGAAGGCAACGUAGCCAUCCAUCGAUGAAGGAGACAUCUUAGCGAGAUGCAAGAAAAGACCACUGAAAGUGAAAACACUAAUGAAGGGUGGUGAGAUUAUGCUAGAACACGUUUAGUCUAUGACGCUAAGUCAGCGAAGAAGGGUGGCGAGAGGCAGUUCAACGGUUUAAUCAACGUUUACAAGAAGACAUACACAUCAGACGACA
Molecule: RNA transcript, 1254 nt
Organism: Helianthus annuus (common sunflower)
Lineage: Eukaryota; Viridiplantae; Streptophyta; Magnoliopsida; Asterales; Asteraceae
Exons: 9
Source: RefSeq, a predicted model, not a curated record